CCUACGGGAGGCAGCAGUGGGGAAUAUUGCACAAUGGGGGAAACCCUGAUGCAGCGACGCCGCGUGAGUGAAGAAGUAUUUCGGUAUGUAAAGCUCUAUUAGCAGGGAAGAAAAUGACGGUACCUGAUUAAGAAGCCCCGGCUAACUCCGUGCCAGCAGCCGCGGUAAUACGGAGGGGGCAAGCGUUAUCCGGAUUGACUGGGUGGAAAGGGAGCGUAGACGGCAGCACAAGUCUGGAGUGAAAUGCCGGGGCUUAACCCCGGAACUGCUUUUGAAACUGUGCAGCUAGAGUGUAGGAGAGGUAAGUGGAAUUCCUGGUGUAGCGGUGAAAUGCGUAGAGAUUAGGAGGAACACCAGUGGCGAAGGCGGCUUACUAGACUAUAACUGACGUUGAGGCUCGAAAGCGUGGGGAGCAAACAGGAUUAGAUACCCCAGUAGUC
This 440-nucleotide ribosomal RNA is filed under the name uncultured bacterium. RNAcentral describes it as "partial 16S ribosomal RNA". It matches the Rfam family "Bacterial small subunit ribosomal RNA", at positions 338 to 795 of the family's 1533-position model. The record is from RNAcentral.